CAGGACCCCAGGUAGAGAAAGUAUCUGUGAAAGAUUAAGAAGAUGGCUGAUUCCAUGCAGAUGCCACACAACUGUCACAGACACCCCAGGGAUGGACUCCCCGGGAGUGACCACCAGUGACCUACCAAAAUCAAGAACAUCCUAAAGUGCCUUGUCCAGGAGGAGAGAAAUCCAUCCACCACAGAGCUGCAGGCCACUGGAGAAAGCUAUAUUAUGCGAAUGGCCACAAUUUUCAGGCCAAAUGCUUCAGCAGCAUUACCAACUGCACCUGGAGCUUUCAUACAUCUUGCAGAUUCUGGCAUGGAUCCUGGCGCAGUGACCAGUAUGCCAGCUGGCUUGUGGUGGCAAGAUGAUUCUCUGUUUCUUCUACUCCCUGGGGAACUUGAAAAGGUUAGGCAUCCCUGGCUUCUUAUGUUCAGGAAGACUAGUGUUAGCAGCGAAUGCCUUCAUGUUGUCCCUGAAAGGGAAGCAUUAGAUACAUCAUCUCUGAAAAGCAC
RNAcentral lists this long non-coding RNA (497 nucleotides) under Heterocephalus glaber (naked mole-rat). RNAcentral's name for it is "lncRNA (ENSHGLG00000039583.1)". Lineage: Eukaryota; Metazoa; Chordata; Mammalia; Rodentia; Bathyergidae. The record is from RNAcentral.